AACUACAUCUCCCGGGAGGCCCCGCGGCGGCGCGGCGCGGCAUGGGCGGAGCCAAGGCCCUGAACCCCGCCCCCGGCGCGCCUCCCGGAAGUCUGCGAACGGUUACGGAGCCCCGCGAACCCCUCCGGCGCCUCCUAGCGCUGGAGAGCGCGGGGCGUGGGCUCCGGGGCGCCGCUCACUGGUUCGUUCACACAUUCUCCGGCGUCUCCACCACCGGCUCCGGGCUGCCCGGGAGCGGCUCACCGGCGGCGCGAGCUAGCGCGGAGCCGCAGGAGCCAGGGCCCAGAGGCGGCAGCUAGGCACUCCGCGGGGCUGGCUGCCCAGGCUAGGGCUGAGAUGGGGGUGCCUGGACCCGGCCGGUGGAAAGAAGACCAGCGGAGACGGAGAUACUACAACUUGUAGUCGAUGAGAAUGGUCCAGAGGGAGGAGAGCCACUGAGAAACUGGGCAGGACUGAAUCCAACGCCUGAUGGAAGGCUGGCACCAACUCCAUCAGGAUGGAAGGCAGAAUGCAGAGGCCUGGGUGGGUGCAGCUGGCAGAAUAACAGCCCCCAAAGAUGUCCACGUCCUCAUUCCCAAAACCCACGAGUAUGUUACCUGAUAUGGCAAAAGAGAAUUUGCAAAUCUGGUAAAGGAUUAAGGGCCUUGA
Manis pentadactyla (Chinese pangolin) is the source of this 648-nucleotide long non-coding RNA. RefSeq lists it as uncharacterized. The record is from RefSeq and is a predicted model, not a curated record. Lineage: Eukaryota; Metazoa; Chordata; Mammalia; Pholidota; Manidae. The transcript is spliced from 2 exons.